UCCGGAGAAACAGAUUUUCAAAAAGGAACACAAUAAAAUUUACAGCAUCAUAUUCGAUUUUAUUAAUACGACAAGAAAAGAAGAUGAACAUAUUUGCGAUCAGGAAUUCGCAAAUUUACUGGGUUCGUGUCUGACGAACGCGAAAGACUGGGACGGACAAAG
Rhagoletis pomonella (apple maggot) is the source of this 162-nucleotide long non-coding RNA. RefSeq lists it as uncharacterized. NCBI's taxonomy places the organism in Eukaryota, Metazoa, Arthropoda, Insecta, Diptera, Tephritidae. The record is from RefSeq and is a predicted model, not a curated record. The transcript has 2 exons.